This 392-nucleotide ribosomal RNA is filed under the name uncultured bacterium. RNAcentral's name for it is "bacterial SSU rRNA". It matches the Rfam family "Bacterial small subunit ribosomal RNA", at positions 28 to 424 of the family's 1533-position model. The record is from RNAcentral.
GACGAACGCUGGCGGCGUGCUUAACACAUGCAAGUCGAGCGGUAAGGCCCUUUCGGGGGUACACGAGCGGCGAACGGGUGAGUAACACGUGGGUGACCUGCCCUCAGCUCUGGGAUAAGCCUGGGAAACUGGGUCUAAUACUGGAUAUGACUCCACGGUGCAUGUCGUGGGGUGGAAAGCCUUGUGCGGCUGAGGAUGGGCCCGCGGCCUAUCAACUUGUUGGUGGGGUGANGGCCUACCAAGGCGACGACGGGUAGCCGGCCUGAGAGGGCGACCGGCCACACUGGGACUGAGACACGGCCCGGACUCCUACGGGAGGCAGCAGUGGGGAAUCUUGCGCAAUGGGCGAAAGCCUGACGCAGCGACGCCGCGUGAGGGAUGACGGCCUGGUU